Molecule: ribosomal RNA, 247 nt
Filed under: uncultured bacterium
Lineage: Bacteria
Description: partial 16S ribosomal RNA
Rfam family: Bacterial small subunit ribosomal RNA
Source: RNAcentral
UACGAAGGGUGCAAGCGUUACUCGGAAUUACUGGGCGUAAAGCGUGCGUAGGUGGUUUGUUAAGUCUGAUGUGAAAGCCCUGGGCUCAACCUGGGAAUUGCAUUGGAUACUGGCAGGCUAGAGUGCGGUAGAGGGUAGUGGAAUUCCCGGUGUAGCAGUGAAAUGCGUAGAGAUCGGGAGGAACACCAGUGGCGAAGGCGACUACCUGGACCAGCACUGACACUGAGGCGCGACAGCGUGGGGAGCA